GUCCGUUUCCUCUCGUGGUAGGUAGCCCCGUCCGGCGGCGCCGAUGCUAAUACCUUCAAUAGCCCCUUGUUGGCUUCACAUCCAAUUCGAGAUAGAAGCGCGGGAUCCCCUCCCCGCGCGCCCUAUUCUGUGUGGACAGAUCCAUUGAGAGGCGCCCUUGAUUCCUGGCUGUUGUAUCAUGGGGUUGCUAGCUCUGAAGAUGCUCAUGUCUAGGCGGCGGGAUAGCAAGCAUCUUUGCGGCCAGAUUCAAGCCCGUAAUAGAUUGGUUACUUCAGUGGUUAAAAGAAAGAUCUCUUCAUGCCAACACAAUAACAAUCAAGGUUGCAAGAGAGUGGCAUUUUCAGGGGCAGACCUUCCAGAGGUACGGCAUACUACAAUGCUGAUAAUACUAGUAAUUAGAGUAAAACACGACUAUGACUAUUCUAGCCUCAAAGUGCACAAAUUGAUAUGGACUGAUCUUGUAGUGCUGCAAUCUCCUGCAGUACGUACUACAACAUUAGUUGCUUUGCUCAUUUCUAACUAUUCCAGCUCAGAACAAAACUCUCUGUCAAGAGAUGAGGGUGAGUUGCUUUGCUAUUUUUGUUCGAUACAUUUUAGCAAGGUAAGAAAGAGAGGUGAGACACAUGGAUAGACCACCACUAAUCCUCACCCUCAAUUGAACAAGUUUUAGAACAAAUUAUUGGUUAAUAGGCUUCAGAGCAGCGGCGAGUCUAGUAGGGGGCCUUCAACAGGCUUGAGCCUACCCUCCAGCAAAACAAAAGCUCACCAGUCCAUCUAGAGCCCGUUCACUGUAGCAAAACAUACGAGCAAUAUCUCUCUGUUCGUAACUUUGCACCCAGCCAGCCGUGAUGCGUCCAACAGAAGUGCAGAAUAAUAGUCGCAAUCUCACAGGACUGCAGCCCUCAACAGAGGAGUGCACCGACAGUAUGGUAGAGGAGCGCGCCGGCAGUAGGGUAGUGGAACGCGGCGGCAGUACCGCAGUAGGGAAUUGGAGCGUGCUGGCCGGCCCACAAAGGAGGGAGAAGGCCACAACCUGGGCAGCUCCACAGCUGGGCGCAUCCCCGCUUUGGCCACUGGAGGGCCAACCCGCAAGAUGUUGGUCUAAUACUUGAUUUAUUUCGUUAAAUUAGUAACACUAAUGGCUAGCUCAUGAAAUGUUAAAUAGUUUACUGUUGAAUACAGCUUGUUUGCCUAUUUACAAAAAUAAAGAUACUAUGAGUAUUCUACGAGAAAGAGAUAUCCACAAGCAUAAUUUUCAGUAAUAAUUCUAGUGUUGGGCACUUGGGUAUACUUUUCUUUAUUUUGGUUUGGAGCCGUUCAACAAUAUGGCAGUAUGAAGCAACACUGAUAUCAUUGUUUUUGCCUUCUUGUGCUGUUUUAUUGUUGCUUCUCUCAUACUAAUGUAUUGGUAUGUGAAUUCCUAGUACAUGACACUAUUUUCUAUGAUGAUGCUAAUUUAGUUUAGUCAUCGUUAAUUUUGAGCCCACCCUCCAUUUCCUUUCUGGAUUCGCCACUGCUUCAGAGUAAGAUUCUACAAGUGGUUCAUAGAAAUCAAUACGACCUUUUGAAAUCUCACACAAUACAAGAUUGUCUGGCUUGGGCAUUCGAGUACAUUCACCAAUGCAAACAGUCAGGAAAGCAAACUGUCAUCCUUAAACUUGAUUCACCAAAGUGUCUGAUAUGGUGGAACAUGAUGCUAUUCUUCAGACAAUGGCUAACUUGGCUUGCUUGGAUGAAAUGCAUCAUCUCUUCAGGCACUUCUUCCAUUUUGCUUAAUGCGAGUCCCGGGUAAAAAAUUGUCUGUAAGAGGGGUGUCCGUCAAGGGGAUCGGCUCUCGCUGUUACUUUUUGUGGACUCGGCCGACCCUCUUCAAACUAUGCUUAAUGAUCAUUUUCUCCAUGGGCAUUUGAGAGCUCUUAUUCCUAUUCCGACCACGACCAGCACUUUCCCAUCAUACAGUACGCUGAUGAUACUCUAGUUGCGUUGGUGGCCUCGGCUGAUCAGGUUCUUGUAUAUAUCCUAAAAAGCACCUUGGAGUAGUUUUCCCUUGCUACAGGGUUAUCAGUGAAUUUCAGCAAAUCUUGUAUGGUGCCAAUUAACUGUUCCGAUCAACAGAUGCAGGACCGUUCUAGCUUGCUGGAAUGCCAUGUUGGCCAGCUGCCAUUUCCUUAUUUGGGCUUACCACUUGGUACAACACGUCCUAUAAUUCAAGAUUUUGUGACCCUUGGUGGACUGUGUGGAAAGAAGAUUAAACGUCUGCUCCCGCUUUUUGACAUCUGGUGGCUCUCUAAUUAUGUUAAUUCAGUUAUGUCAGCGCUCCCUACAUUUUACAUAGGCUCUCUUAAGAUUUAGAAAAGGACGAUCCAGUCAAUGGACAGAGCAAGACGCCACUGUCUUUGCGCCAAAGGGAGGAUGGCAUUGAUCAAAAACCCAAAUCCUUGGCUAUAUGGGAUAUAGUUUGCAUGACAGCAGCUUUUUAAGUUUUACAAUUGUGCUAACAUUUCUUGGCCGCAGCUGGUUAGGCAUGCAUAUUAUCAGAAUUUUGUUCCCCACGGCUCAUUUUGGUGGCGGGACAUUUGUUCUUUUGCUUGGCACUUUCGGGCUAUUACCGCACUUGAUCCAAGAACUGGCAUGACUAUACUUCCGUGUGAAGAUAAGUGGCAUUCUGGAGCUUCACCUCCCGAGAUUUUUAUAAUUUUCUGUUGAGCACAAUAUAUUCCUUGCCCAGGCUGUUCAAACAAAAGAUAUAACAACUUUGUUCAUUCUGCCCCUGUCUGAGCAAGAGUUUGAGGAGCUUUAGGUUGUCUCUGCCCAUUCAGAUGACUGUUCAGGAUGGUCUGUCAGAUUCUUGGACGUGCUGUUUAGAACUUCAAAUGCUGGGCGUUUUACUCCAUCUAGCUACAAAUUCCUAUUUGCUGGUUUGGAGGUUGACCCAAUCUUCUCUAAAUUAUGGAAAAGCAAAUGUAUGACCAAGCUGAAGGUGUUUGCUUGGUUAUUUUUAAUGGAUCGGCUCAAUAGUAGGGGUCUAAUGCUUCGGAAACAUUAGCAUUUGGAGCCUGGUCCCAAUUGUGUGCGCUGCUCUGAGGGAAUUAUUGAAACAAGGAACCAUAUCUUCUUUGAGUGUUCUUUUGUAGCUAGGUGCUGGAAUUUUGCAGAAGUCACUUGGCUCCCAGGUCUUUCUCUGUUCCAUUCUUUCCAUGCAACGAAAGCUUCCUUUCAGAGCUCAUGUUUCAUUGAGAUCAUUACUUGUGUUGCUUGGAAUAUCUAGAAAGAAAGAAAUGGUUUGAUUUUUAGCAAACAAGACCAAUAUUUUCUUCUUGGAAAGCUAGGUUCCUAUCUGAUCUCAACCUCACUGCUCAUCGUUUCAAGCAAACCGAGAAGCAAAAGUUUGAAACUUGGAUCUAUAGCCUCUGGCCUUGGCUCUUUUUUCUUUUGUUGCUCCUUGGGGUUUCUAGCUAUCUAGUUCCCCACUGAAUUGUUAGCCUUGUUAACCUACAUGUAACCUUUCUGUUUUAUGUACUAUAUUUAUUAAUAGAAAAUUACCCUUGGGGGUUCCCCCAGGAUUUCAUGGUAAAAAGAAUAGUAGGAAAGUACCGACAACACAGUUUUUUGUGAACUAAAUCUUACUCCCUCCGUCCGAAAAUACUUGUCAUCAAAAUGGACAAAAAGGGAUGUAUCUAAAACUAAAAUACAUCUAGAUACAUCCCCUUUUAUUCAUUUUGAUGACAAGUAUUUCCGGACGGAGGAAGUAUAAAGAAACAUCCUGCACAUGCUCACCCCAUUGUAACAACCACUUGCCUGUACAAUUCCCCUUGUGAACUUUUCUCCAAUGUUUGUGUCUAUAGGACAUCUGGCGCCAUAUACAUUCCCUACUGCCGCUGCGAGAUGCUGCCCGUGUUGCCUGCGUAUCUCAUGCAUUUUUACGUUCCUGGAAAUGCCAUCCCAACCUCUCCUUCACUAGGAAAGCACUGGGCCUGAAUAGAAUUCCACGUCAAAGUGAUGUAAUUGCAAGGGAUCUCACUAUGAAAGUCGACCACAUUCUCAAAAAACACUCAGGCAAAGGAGUUAAGAAAUUCAGGAUCGAAUUACACAUGCCAGUUGAUCCCUGCUAUCUUAAUAGCUGGCUUCAGAUUGCUGCUGAACUACGGGUUGAGGAACUCGCCGUUGUUCUACCUUCAACCUGCAAUGCAAAUGACUACGAUUUCCCUUGUGCACUUUUUGUUGAUGAUGGGUGUAGAAACGCAAUAGAGCAUCUCUGCCUUGGCGGUUGUGCCUUCCAUCCCACAGCUGGAUUUGGUUACUUGAGAAAGCUGCGGCUGUUUUGGGUGCAUAUUACGGUGGAUGAAUUAGAAUGCCUUAUUUCCAAAUCUCCAGCUUUGGAGCACUUGGCACUCAAGUAUUGCUAUACGAUCACUUACCUGAAGAUACCUAGCCUGCUACAGCAUCUCAGCUACCUGAUGGUAGCUGCAUGCGCUAAUCUGCAGACAAUAGAGUGUAAAGCUCCAAAUCUCUCCACUUUUUACUUCAGUGGUCGACAAGUUGAACUUCUGUUUGGAUGUUCAGUUCAAGUGAAGACCAUGGAAAUGCGUUGUUCUACUCAGUGUAACACCAUUUAUAAUGCUUGUGCCAACCUGCCAUCCAUUGUGCCAAAUAUUGAAACUCUCAGCAUAUCUUCUGUUAGUGAGGUGGUCAAUAUACCAAUCGUGCCUGUAAAAUUCCUCCACCUCAAGUAUCUGUCUAUUUCUCUUGAAGGAAAUGGGGCUUUUUCCCCAGACUAUGAUUACUUUUCUCUGGUUUCUUUGCUGGAUGCUUGUCCUGUCUUGGAAACUUUCAACUUGUUUGUGUCACAGGAUCGCAUGAAACACGAUUCGGUUCUUGGAGACCCGUCGUCACGUCUUAGGCAGAUGCCUGAAUACCGCCACGACAACAUUAAGAAUGUGAGGAUUAUUGGGUUUUGCUCUGCGAAGAGCAUGGUCGAGCUGGCAUGCCAUAUUCUCGAGAAUGCAACAUCACUCGAGUGCCUUACUUUGGACACGAUACGUGCUUUCAGUAUUGACAGACACAUUCACAAAACUGGUGAAUGUGGCCACAUAGGCAGGCAUAUGAUCAGAGAAGCACGUAAGGCGCUCUUGGCUGUCAAAAGAUAUAUCGUGGGAAUAGUUCCCUCCACGGUCAAGUUAAAUGUCUUGCAGCCUUGCAAGCUAUGCCAUGCUUUGGCUGCUUAGAUGUGGCAAUAUCAUAAAUUUGUAAAUUACAUUGUUGACUGAACACUGUUGCAUGAGUUGCCACUUGCAGCAGGAAUGUCCAAACGGGUCACUUAAACACCAGCGUAGAAGUAUAGGGACAAGCAAUUAUGGUAUUUGAUAUAUAAAAGAAGAUAUCAGGAACUAUUUAGUAUUGUAGCUGUUGAUAUAUUUUCUUAUAAAAUUCGGUCAGGAUUUACAGCAUUUGACCCAAGACAAAAGUUAUAGGCCUCCUUUCGGGAGACAAGGGAGUAUCAUGUAACUGAGAUGUGCUAUGCAGUUAUCCCAGCAAUCUUGUUUAUCUUUCUCCC
RNAcentral lists this ribosomal RNA (5554 nucleotides) under Triticum aestivum (bread wheat). RNAcentral's name for it is "partial small subunit ribosomal RNA". The stretch from base 3621 to 3755 matches the Rfam family "MIR1120/MIR1122 microRNA precursor family". The record is from RNAcentral. Lineage: Eukaryota; Viridiplantae; Streptophyta; Magnoliopsida; Poales; Poaceae.